Molecule: ribosomal RNA, 223 nt
Filed under: Salmonella enterica subsp. enterica serovar Derby
Lineage: Bacteria; Pseudomonadati; Pseudomonadota; Gammaproteobacteria; Enterobacterales; Enterobacteriaceae
Description: partial 23S ribosomal RNA
Rfam family: Bacterial large subunit ribosomal RNA
Source: RNAcentral
GGGACACGUGGUAUCCUGUCUGAAUAUGGGGGGACCAUCCUCCAAGGCUAAAUACUCCUGACUGACCGAUAGUGAACCAGUACCGUGAGGGAAAGGCGAAAAGAACCCCGGCGAGGGGAGUGAAAAAGAACCUGAAACCGUGUACGUACAAGCAGUGGGAGCACAGGUUUACCUGUGUGACUGCGUACCUUUUGUAUAAUGGGUCAGCGACUUAUAUUCUGUA